Xylaria longipes is the source of this 110-nucleotide non-coding RNA. The record is from the annotation of a GenBank genome assembly. Lineage: Eukaryota; Fungi; Ascomycota; Sordariomycetes; Xylariales; Xylariaceae.
GGCAAGAUGGCCGAGUUGGUUAAGGCGGAAGACUCAAGCUGAUCCUUACCUGUUCAACAGGCAGUAUUCUUCUGGGGCAACCCGCGCGAGUUCGAAUCUCGUUCUUGUCA